AUUGAACGCUGGCGGCAGGCCUAACACAUGCAAGUCGAACGGUAACAGGAAGAAGCUUGCUUCUUUGCUGACGAGUGGCGGACGGGUGAGUAAUGUCUGGGAAACUGCCUGAUGGAGGGGGAUAACUACUGGAAACGGUAGCUAAUACCGCAUAACGUCGCAAGACCAAAAAGGGGGACCUUCGGGCCUCUUGCCAUCGGAUGUGCCCAGAUGGGAUUAGCUAGUAGGUGGGGUAACGGCUCACCUAGGCGACGAUCCCUAGCUGGUCUGAGAGGAUGACCAGCCACACUGGAACUGAGACACGGUCCAGACUCCUACGGGAGGCAGCAGUGCGGAAUAUUGCACAAUGGGCGCAAGCCUGAUGCAGCCAUGCCGCGUGUAUGAAGAAGGCCUUCGGGUUGUAAAGUACUUUCAGCGGGGAGGAAGGGAGUAAAGUUAAUACCUUUGCUCAUUGACGUUACCCGCAGAAGAAGCACCGGCUAACUCCGUG
RNAcentral lists this ribosomal RNA (490 nucleotides) under uncultured bacterium. RNAcentral's name for it is "partial 16S ribosomal RNA". It matches the Rfam family "Bacterial small subunit ribosomal RNA", at positions 30 to 507 of the family's 1533-position model. The record is from RNAcentral.